CAGGGGGCGGGGCCGCGGCCUCGGUCCACUCCAGGAGCCGCACUGUGCUGGCGCUGGAGCUGGCCGCCGGGCCGGCGCUUAACUGCGGCAGAACCGUGGCAGUGACAGGUACGCUGUCGGCCACUCGCUCUGGGGCGCCCACAUGGAUCGGCUCCCGCGGAAAGCAGGACACAUCCAGGGCACUGCUGGACAGGCCAAGGGUGGCCGUGCUGGCUGCGAACAGAUACACGGACAGACAGGACACAGGGACCAGAACAGAGCACCUGGCAUGCAAGAGCCUGAUCCAGAUAUUGCACUGACAGUCAUGGAAUGAAUGAAUCAGCGAGCUGGGAGUAAAGAGUGGUCAAUAACAUAUGGAGAAGAAAUAAAUGGUACUGAAA
Molecule: long non-coding RNA, 380 nt
Organism: Equus caballus (horse)
Lineage: Eukaryota; Metazoa; Chordata; Mammalia; Perissodactyla; Equidae
Source: RefSeq, a predicted model, not a curated record